This is a long non-coding RNA of Alligator sinensis (Chinese alligator), 1293 nucleotides long. RefSeq lists it as uncharacterized. The record is from RefSeq and is a predicted model, not a curated record. Lineage: Eukaryota; Metazoa; Chordata; Crocodylia; Alligatoridae. The transcript is spliced from 4 exons.
AGGGCGGUGGGUGUUGGCUGAGGAGGGGCCUGUGCUGGGAUCAGCCCGGCUCCUGCGGUGCAGACUUGCUGCUGAGGCAAUGUGCUGCUUCUGAGGACUCGUGCAAACAACACCAGCUCCCAAAGCAACGCCUCUGCCCCCAGCACCCAGCAAACGGCUCUCCCAUCUCGCUGAGCAAUGGAGGCAAGAAAAGCCACCGGGCAGGAUGAUGCUGAGCUGCCCAAAACCCUCGAGUCCCUGUCCGAACGCAUCAGGGCCCUGCUAACGGUGCUGGAAGCCCAGCAGCAACGGCUCCAGGAAAAGACCGCCAGCCUCGACCUGCUGAUGACGGAGCUCGCGGGACUGCGGGCCUCUCUCAGGGCACCUGCUGGGAUGGAGAGCAGCUCCUUGGCUCUGCAGGAAGAGAAGAAUCACCCCUGAAAUGCCAGCUGGGCUGGCCUGGCCACCAGCCUGUUGCUGGAAGAACCCUUCACAUACGCACGUUUGCUCUCCAGGAAAUGCUUAGCCCUUUCUCUCUUGAGCUCUGCUAAGCUGGCUUUGUAUUGUCACCUGAUGCUCACGGCAUGGCACAGAAAUAAAAUGAUUUAUGUGCCCCUUUGCCACUCUGGGAAAAGCUGCAGCCCUGCUCCAGCUAGCAGUGAGCUAACCAACCAGCCCCUGUAACCUGGGGGCAGCAGAGACUUGCUGACCCAAGGCUGUACAUGAAAAAGGAAAGGGAAUUUCCUUUCCUGCCCUUAAUUUCACACUAGAAAUGCAGCAGGGCUGAACCUGUGCACUGCAAGGACUGCCCCUAACCCUGUGUCCUGCCCAUACUGAUUCGGCACAUCCUUGUCCCCAUCUCCUUCCCCACCUUUCCUCUUCCAUCGCAGGACAGAGCCAGCCCCAAAGACCAGGGGUGCUGUGCAGGGAGUCCUCCCUUGCAGCAGCACAGGCCCCGAAGAGGAGCUCAAGCCACUGCUGCUCCCUCCCAGGAGCUGCACCCAUCCCAGGGAGAAGCUGGAGGGCUAGGGCCAGUGAAGCAGAGCUCUGUCCUGCCUGGCAUUCACUCCCUGCUUCCCAGCUGCACUAAGGCUUCUUUCCUGGAGAGAGAGACAAAGAGCUGCAGUUCUCCCUCCCUGCCUUUGAAAAGCUGUUUCUGUGUUUUCUUGGCUAGGCAGUGUUGAGGGCCCUGCUCUGAAAGGGGCAGGAUACUAAACAGGCCAGUGCUUUAUGAUCCCCAGCAGCUCCCCUUGGCGUGGGGGCUUUGGAUCCCCAGUCAAGGUGCCUGAUUGAGGCCUGCACGGAGCCUGGGGG